Bombus pyrosoma is the source of this 2440-nucleotide long non-coding RNA. RefSeq lists it as uncharacterized. The record is from RefSeq and is a predicted model, not a curated record. The transcript has 3 exons. Lineage: Eukaryota; Metazoa; Arthropoda; Insecta; Hymenoptera; Apidae.
GCACAUUCAAGUUGUUGCAAUCUAAUUUACAUUAACAUAGAACAGAAUUAGCUUUUCCCAAGUGAGCAAAAUUUUCAUCGCGUGCAAGAGGCGGACACGCCAUACGAACAAACGGACAGCGAAACUUCCAGCUCGCAGCUAGGUUUAAAACUGAAAUUCAACAGGUGGACCAUGCAAAUAUUUGUCGGAAACGAGGCAUUCAUAUAAUAGCACUCAUCAAUAGUGUUGCUCCAGGCAUUAUCAUCUACGCACAGAAAAAAGAGAUUCCUUCAUCGUGGAGAAAAUUGACAGCUCCGAAACGUCUUCUUUUGUCGAUAACAUCCAGAUCGAUGAUGAUUAGAAUUUCUAUGUCAUCGGACGAAACUGUAAGGGCAAGCAUCCUGGACAUGUGGAAGGAAGCGUAGUUAAAAAGUUGAGCCGACAUCCGGCGAACGCUUUCAAGAUCAAAGAAUGGAUCUAAAAAGGAUUAAGCGUCCUAAGACUCCUUGCCUCGAAGUGAAGCUGACUCAUAAGAAUCUUCGCUUCCAAAUCUGGUCAGUCAAACUGUUUUCGUCCAAUGAAUUUUAAUUUAGUCUCAUAGUCUUCCAUCAUCUAGCUUCAUAACCGCUGAGUUAUAAGAAAAGAGGAUACGUAACGAUAAUGAGAAUGAUACUACUUAACGGUUUACCGUGGUGUAAAAAUUUGACAUUCCGCGGAUUUACGAUUGCUGCCCCGAGGACUAAAUUAUGGCGCCUCGGAUCCCGCACCGCAUUUGCAAACCCGUCGUACCGCACGUCGUACGACCGGCAGGUUUUGCACGUUACACUUUAUAUCCUGAGUGCAUGCCACGACAGGUACUUACACUGUCAGCGUAAGGUUACAACGAAAAUAACGAAAGAACAUACAACGGGGUUACGGCCCUCUUAACAAUUAGCACGUACCGUUGAUCGCGGAACACAGUCUCCCAUAAAUAUCCGUGAAAACGUUCCCGGUAAUGAGACGAACGUCGUUUCGGAAUUCGUUGUGAACCUGAUUCGGGAUUCACGUUCAUCUGUUUAAACCGAAAAAAGAAAAGAAUGUGUAUAACCAAGCGUUGUCCUUUUCGCUUUAUUAACACUAAAUAUCAGUAAUCUGAUGUUAAGUCUGGAGAAACCGGAGAAACGUUACCUGUAGUCGAAAUAAUGGAACUUCUAAUGAAUUUUAAUUUCAACCGACCUGGAGUCUCUUCUCCGGACUGGAGAACACACUGACGCCAGUAAAUCGCACGCUUUAACGGGCAAAUAUGUCGGUGAAGCUGAAGGAAACGAGUAACGCACAAGCAUCGUCGAUUACGCAGAACUUUCGAGGCUUCUUCUCUUCUUCAACAAAUCACUUUUUGCCUGUACAAAGUGCACGUAUAGUUAGAGUCGUUGGUUCGAAAGGGAGGCGGCGACGUUCCUUUUUCGACAGGGAAUCGUCGAUAUUUCGCCGCACUAAACCGCGACCAGCCACGUCCUUUUUUUCUUUACAACCAUCCGGCUCUCUACGUCGAAGCAACAUUUACGACGCGUUCUUUUUGUUCUCGGCGACGAUACAGCUCGACGCGACGAAGAGGCACCGCUAUACCCUUUCGACUCGUGCGUUCAAAGCGCCUCCUCGAGAGCCUUUGUCCUGCUCAUGCGGCCAUUUUCUUUCUCUUCGCAUUCUUUUCAGUGAAUACCUACCCAGCGUUCAAGUAGACGCGCGUUCGGUGUACGAAGUGGAGAACGAUACACGAAGACGACGAAGAAAAAGGGACGGAUGAUACCUACAGGGUGGAGGAAGAAAGGCGGGAAGGAAGGAACGAUAGGCACAAGGGGUGGCGCGGGAGGCGAAGGAAGGCGAAGAAAGAACGAAGCGGAGGAGGAGGAAGAACGCGAGAAAGAAGCUAAAGUGAAACGAGCAGAAAAGACACACGAGCGAUGAGUCAUCGUAAAAAGAGGAAAGCUGGUGGUCGACUACUCUGAUUCGAACGAUCGUGUCUCGAGAUUUUCUGCUACUUUUUGCCUUGAACGCAUAAUACCGUCUCUAUCGUCAUUUUAAUACACGCAAUACACGCAAUACCAACAACCAACGGAACUGUCGACGGCUGAUAACGCGGAAAACGAAAGACUAAAAAGCCGAUGGCUAUAGUCGAAUGACAAGUACGAUCGAGCUCUCUGAUUGACGAUCGAUUGCUACUUCGAUCUCCACGGCCAAUAACUGCUGCUUCGUAUUAGAAGCGGUCUACACAGUCAUCGAUUUUUAUACACAUGUCUCAUCUUUACGGGAUUAUCGAGAUUACCAGAUGGAUUAUCCCGCACGACAACUCUUUCUCGCGGAAUGUAGGCUACGGAAUUCUUUACGUGCGAAAACACGCAUCUGACGAUUCUUCGGCUACCGUUAAAGACGUAUCAGCAAGGAUGCUGGUCAUUAUCGCCGUGAAUGGGAUCAGUUAGCGAUU